Molecule: ribosomal RNA, 426 nt
Filed under: uncultured bacterium
Lineage: Bacteria
Description: bacterial SSU rRNA
Rfam family: Bacterial small subunit ribosomal RNA
Source: RNAcentral
GUAAGGAAUAUUGCGCAAUGGGCGAAAGCCUGACGCAGCAACGCCGCGUGCGGGAUGAAGGCCCUCGGGUUGUAAACCGCUUUCAGUAGGGAAGAAAAUGACGGUACCUACAGAAGAAGCCCCGGCCAACUACGUGCCAGCAGCCGCGGUAACACGUAGGGGGCGAGCGUUGUCCGGAUUUAUUGGGCGUAAAGAGCUCGUAGGCGGUUUCGUAAGUCGGAUGUGAAAACUCCAGGCUCAACUUGGAGACGCCAUUCGAUACUGCGAUGACUUGAGUCCGGUAGGGGAGUGUGGAAUUCCUGGUGUAGCGGUGAAAUGCGCAGAUAUCAGGAGGAACACCGGCGGCGAAGGCGGCACUCUGGGCCGGUACUGACGCUGAGGAGCGAAAGCGUGGGUAGCAAACAGGAUUAGAAACCCCUGUAGUCC